UUAAAGAUUAUAGCAAUAUGAUCGUUGAGCAGUGGCGAAAUGGUGCGUAACACGUGGGUAUUUUCCGUGAGAUUUGGAAUAACGCGCUGAAAGGCGCGCUAAUACCGAAUGCGUUUAAUUGCCUAGCGGCAUUUGAACAAAGCUGGGGACUUUUAGCCUGGCGUCUCACGAUAAGCUUGCGGCCUAUCAGCUAGUUGGCGGGGUAAGAGCCCACCAAGGCAAUGACGGGUAACUGGUCUGAGAGGACGACCAGUCACACUGGAACUGAGACACGGUCCAGACACCUACGGGUGGCAGCAGUCGAGAAUUUUUCACAAUGGGCGAAAGCCUGAUGGAGCGACGCCGCGUGGGGGAUGAAUGGCUUCGGCCCGUAAACCCCUGUCAUUUGCGAUCAAUGUCUAAUUGGAAACACUUUUUAGACUGAUAGUAGCGAAAGAGGAAGGGACGGCUAACUCUGUGCCAGCAGCCGCGGUAAUACAGAGGUCCCAAGCGUUGUUCGGAAUUACUGGGCGUAAAGGGCGCGUAGGCGGUUCGUCAAGUUGCAGGUGAAAUUCCAAGGCUCAACCUUGGCAAGCCUGCAAAACUGGCGGACUAGAGGGUCGUAGGGGAAGUUGGAAUUCUCGGUGUAGCAGUGAAAUGCGUAGAUAUCGAGAGGAACAUCAGUGGCGAAGGCGAACUUCUUGACGAAUCCAGACGCUGAGGCGCGAAAGCCAAGGUAGCAAACGGGAUUAGAUACCCCGGUAGUCUUGGCUGUAAACGGUGCGCACUUGCUGUAAGACGGAUCAUACCGUUUUGUGGCGUAGCUAACGCGAUAAGUGCGCCGCCUGGGGAAUACGGCCGCAAGGCUAAAACUCAAAGAAAUUGACGGGGGCCUGCACAAGCGGUGGAGUAUGUGGCUUAAUUCGAUGCAACGCGAAGAACCUUACCUAGUCUUGACAUCCCGAUAGUAAUUAGUAGAAAUACUAGUGAGGUAGCAAUACCAAGUCGGGACAGGUCUGCAUGGCUGUCGUCAGCUCGUGUCGUGAGAUGUUGGGUUAAGUCCCGCAACGAGCGCAACCCCUGUAACCUGUUGCAACCUUAACUGGGCACUUAGGUUAGACUGCCUCGUUUCAACGAGGAGGAAGGUGGGGAUGACGUCAAGUCAGUAUGGCCCUUACGACUAGGGCUGCACACGUACUACAAUGCGGAAUACAGUUGGGAGCAAACCCGCAAGGGGGAGCAAAUCCAUAAAAUUCCGCCCAGUUCAGAUUGUCGUCUGCAAUUCGACGGCAUGAAGCUGGAAUCGCUAGUAAUGGCGCAUCAGCUACGGCGCCGUGAAUACGUUCCCAGGCCUUGUACACACCGCCCGUCACAUCAUGAAAGCCGGAUGCACCCAAAGCAAUAAUGCCAACCGCAAGGGGGCUAAUUUCCAAGGUGCGCUUGGUGAUUGGGAUGAAGUCGUAACAAGGUA
RNAcentral lists this ribosomal RNA (1450 nucleotides) under metagenome. RNAcentral describes it as "bacterial SSU rRNA". It matches the Rfam family "Bacterial small subunit ribosomal RNA". The record is from RNAcentral.